AGUGAACGUUGGCGGCGUGGAUUAGGCAUGCAAGUCGAGCGAGAACCGUAGCAAUACGGGGACAGCGGCGAAAGGGACAGUAAUGUGUAGGUACCUACCUCCGGGUUCGGGAUAGCUGCGGGAAACUGCAGGUAAUACCGAAUAACGUCUCCGGACCAAAGGUGUGAUUCCACCUGGAGAGGGGCCUGCAUCCGAUUAGCUUGUUGGCGGGGUAACGGCCCACCAAGGCGACGAUGGGUAGCGGGUGUGAGAGCACGACCCGCGUCAUUGGGACUGAGACACUGCCCAGACACCUACGGGUGGCUGCAGUCGUGAAUCUUCGGCAAUGGGCGCAAGCCUGACCGAGCGACGCCGCGUGCGGGAUGAAGGCCUUCGGGUUGUAAACCGCUGUCGUAGAGGAGGAAAUGCAGGGGGGUUCUCCCCUCUGUUUGACCUAUUCUAGGAGGAAGUACGGGCUAAGUUCGUGCCAGCAGCCGCGGUAA
This 482-nucleotide ribosomal RNA is filed under the name uncultured bacterium. Its description in RNAcentral is "partial 16S ribosomal RNA". It matches the Rfam family "Bacterial small subunit ribosomal RNA", at positions 28 to 523 of the family's 1533-position model. The record is from RNAcentral.